CUAAGGAAGCUGUGGAUCUGGUAAGACGACCUUCUGACAAGUCUUUGGCUUGUCCCGAGGUAUGAACCAUCCCGUGCUUUUUAGAACAUAGAUCGGACCAGUCAGGUCACGAUCGCAACGCAAUACGUCGGCUGUUCAUUGCUUUAGGUGAUGACGGACCGAAGAAGGCAGGUCAUGCCGGCCAUGUUUCUCUUUCUCGAAGGAUACGAACCACCCCGUUGUUUGGGUGUGGCUCUGACGAAUGGGCCCGUAGCUCAGGUGGUUAGAGCGCACGCCUGAUAAGCGUGAGGUCGGCAGUUCGAGUCUGCCCGGGCCCACCAUUCGUUGGCGUCCAUGGCGGCAUCGUUAUGGGGCUGUAGCUCAGCUGGGAGAGCACCUGCUUUGCAAGCAGGGGGUCAGCGGUUCGAUCCCGCUCAGCUCCACCACUUCUUUUGGAUGUGGUGUCAAGUUUUGUGGGUAUCCAUCUUGAAAAAUGAAGUUUGCAUCCCGCUUAUUGGCCCGAUGCCUGUUCUGUCCUACAUGGUGAAGAGAAGAUUGAUCCGGAUUGAGUUUACGCUCAAUGCCUGAAGGAUCAUUUGUUGUUCGAAGGCUUUGGCCUUUGUCUGAUGGAUGAUCUGGUGGAUGUUCCCUGACCGCGCAUCCUCGGAUUUGAUCUCGAGAAGCUGGUCUUAAGGUAUGGCCAGGCGCACGCUCGGCGUGUGCGCUUAUAACAUGGACCAUACCGAACACGUCGAUGGCAUCUGAAUGGUUCGGCUGUAAAAGGUAGCUGGACUGUUGUUCCCCGCAUUAUCGUUAGGCGGUGGAAGGGCUGCGGCAAACGCAGGUUUGCCCGUAUAGCCAGAUCUGGAACCCCUGUGAGCGCAAGCGAUCAGGAAAGGUCUUCCAGAUCCAACUAUUGAUGAGCAUUGGCAAUGAGAACGA
This 921-nucleotide transfer RNA is filed under the name rice phyllosphere bacterium D. RNAcentral's name for it is "16S-23S intergenic spacer". The stretch from base 244 to 317 matches the Rfam family "tRNA". The record is from RNAcentral.